GUCAGAGUAGCUCAGCUGGUUAGAGCACAGGAUUCAUAACCCUGAGGUCGGGAGUUCAAGUCUCCCCUCUGACACUA
This 77-nucleotide transfer RNA is filed under the name Cyanobium sp. SAT1300. Its description in RNAcentral is "tRNA-Met". It matches the Rfam family "tRNA". From Rfam's summary of the family: Transfer RNA (tRNA) molecules are approximately 80 nucleotides in length. Their secondary structure includes four short double-helical elements and three loops (D, anti-codon, and T loops). Lineage: Bacteria; Bacillati; Cyanobacteriota; Cyanophyceae; Synechococcales; Prochlorococcaceae. The record is from RNAcentral.